GCUCAGUAAUCAGUGUAGAUCC
This 22-nucleotide microRNA is filed under the name Xenopus laevis (African clawed frog). RNAcentral's name for it is "xla-miR-222-5p". Its record names the gene xla-miR-222-5p. The record is from miRBase by way of RNAcentral. Lineage: Eukaryota; Metazoa; Chordata; Amphibia; Anura; Pipidae.